AUUGAACGCUGGCGGAAUGCUUUACACAUGCAAGUCGAACGGCAGCACGGACUUCGGUCUGGUGGCGAGUGGCGAACGGGUGAGUAAUGUAUCGGAACGUGCCCAGUCGUGGGGGAUAACGUAGUGAAAAUUACGCUAAUACUGCAUACGAUCUAUGGAUGAAAGCGGGGGAUCGCAAGAGCUCGCGCGCUUGGAGCGGCCGGUAUCAGAAUUGGUAGUUGGUGGGGUAAAGGCGCACCAAGCCAACGAUCUGUAGCUGGUCUGAGAGGACGACCAGCCUGACUGAAACUGAGGCACGGUCCAUACUCCUACGGGAGGCAGCAGUGGAGAAUGUUGGACAAUGGGCGAAAGCCUGAACCAGCCAUUCCGCGUGCAGGAUGAACGCCCUCGGGUUGUAAACUGCUUUAGGACAGAAGGAAAAGGUUGCUACAAACACCAGGGGCUCAGGACGGCACGGUAAGAAUAAGCACCGGCUAACUACGUGCCAGCCGCCGCCGUAA
This 500-nucleotide ribosomal RNA is filed under the name uncultured bacterium. Its description in RNAcentral is "partial 16S ribosomal RNA". It matches the Rfam family "Bacterial small subunit ribosomal RNA", at positions 30 to 523 of the family's 1533-position model. The record is from RNAcentral.